UGUGGGAGCUGGCUUGCCUGCGAAAGCGGUAGUGCAGUAACAGAUGCAGUGACUGUCACACCGCCAUCGCAGGCAAGCCAGCUCCCACA
Molecule: unclassified non-coding RNA, 89 nt
Filed under: Pseudomonas libanensis
Lineage: Bacteria; Pseudomonadati; Pseudomonadota; Gammaproteobacteria; Pseudomonadales; Pseudomonadaceae
Source: RNAcentral